ACGGCCAUAGGUUAAUCUGGUAGACCGUUCGUCUUCCAAACGAUGUGUGCCGAUUCAAGUUCGGCUGGCCGUA
RNAcentral lists this transfer RNA (73 nucleotides) under Letharia columbiana. It matches the Rfam family "tRNA". From Rfam's summary of the family: Transfer RNA (tRNA) molecules are approximately 80 nucleotides in length. Their secondary structure includes four short double-helical elements and three loops (D, anti-codon, and T loops). Further hydrogen bonds mediate the characteristic L-shaped molecular structure. tRNAs have two regions of fundamental functional importance: the anti-codon, which is responsible for specific mRNA codon recognition, and the 3' end, to which the tRNAs corresponding amino acid is attached (by aminoacyl-tRNA synthetases). tRNAs cope with the degeneracy of the genetic code in two manners: having more than one tRNA (with a specific anti-codon) for a particular amino acid; and 'wobble' base-pairing, i.e. permitting non-standard base-pairing at the 3rd anti-codon position. The record is from Rfam by way of RNAcentral. RNAcentral also lists the same sequence under 1 other name. Lineage: Eukaryota; Fungi; Ascomycota; Lecanoromycetes; Lecanorales; Parmeliaceae.